GACGAGAGUUUUGAUUGGCGAACGACGCGAGAAACACGGAUAGGCGAAGGGUGAAGGAAAAGAAGAUUCUCAGGAACCACCUCCCGGAAGGUGUGCACGCGAUAUAAUAAGAGAACGUGGUCACACCGACCCAGAAUCAUAGUAGGCAGCUCGAUGUGGGACAUAGCGGCACUUCUUACGGCCAUAGAUACCUUUCCCAUCUGUUGGCAAACGACACAAAGCUUGUCGACCUCGCUUCGUUUCGACGCGUGCCCCUUUGAGCAUCGCGAUCGAGGGAAGAAAGAAAGAAGCAAAGAAAGAAGAAAUGGAAGGAAUAAUUAAUGCCGGGGAGAACAAUCGCGAUAACAGGUUAUGUAUCAACAACCUUGAAAUUAUGAUCGUGAAAAAAGUUCAAGCACUGUGAACAACGGCCUUCUUUAUGAUGCAUAUCUUUCCAAGAAGACGAAUAUUUGAUAUUGGAAACCUAUAUAUUCUUUCUCUUUGACUGAACGAUUGGUCAAUUCGGAAUAGUUGAAGUUACGAAUAAAGUUACUUCGAUGAUUUAUCGUUCGAAACGUAAUAACGCAAUAACUGGAAAUAAUUGUAACGGCAAACGAUUGAGGUUAUACGAAAAGCGGAUCAACUAUGAUGAUCAAAGUAACUUUAUUCGAAAUUUUUGACCAGUUAUUUUUUCCAACUCUGGUCGGAUACACACUAGAUAAUAACUAGAAAAUCACUAAUCAUCGACAGAUGUGUAGGCGUCACGUCGCGUUGAUGAAACGUUCGAGAUAGAAAAACACGAGGAAAUGUAUUCUUCUCUCUUCCAACGUACAAAAAGUUAUUAAGUAUCAACAGGUUGGAAGAAUAAACUAUUGGCGAGAUGCUCGAUUAUUAAAAACGAAUUAAAAUUUUCCUCGUGUCCUCGGCCCGUAACAAUUCUCCGCGAGUUGCGUCACCGACUCGUAAUAAAUAAUUAAGAGCAACGUUCGUGGACGGUUGAACGGGAGUGCUUCCGCAACGGUGCACCGUUACCGAUCGAAAACAUUUUUUUAACGAGAGCACGGUCGAUAUCCACCACUCGAUCUCGAUAAAUAGUUUUGGUUUGCAUGUCGAGCUGCGUUCUCGUUCUCCAUCUCGCGGAAAUUGAGGAAACGGAGACGGCCGUCCUCAAGAGAAGAGAAAUGGAUAAUGAAAGAAUGCACGCGUUAAUUAAUUAAAAUGUUUUGAGCUCGUGGUAGAGGGAGCCUCGAGCUGCGAAAAUUCUCGUUCGACCAGAUAAACGGGAUAUACGCAUCCGGAAUCACGCAUAUCUUAUUCCUUUUCUCCCUUUACUCUUUUAUCAAUUAGAUACGCUAUACGGAUGUAAAUUACGAUAAAUUUAUAUGAAAAUGCGAUAAGCGUGGUUGAACAUGAACGAACGGAUGAAAAUCGAACGAGGGUGUUAAGAUUAAGAAAAACUGGAAAAACCGGCCGUUUAUAAGGAUGCGAACCCGGACGGGGUCGUCGGUCGUGAAGAGAACGAAAGUUUUCAAGGAAACGGGAGGGAACGAUAACCUCGAAGAAAGAAAAAGUAAACUCUGAAUUUCUUGGAACUGCUACUAAUUGCUCCGCUCUCGUGAUAAUUGACGAACACGCGAAAAGUGAAGAUACGCGUGCUCUCGCCUCAUUUUUCUCCACCAGUUUAUCCGCGCGAAAGGAAUCUCAUUUUUAUCGACCGAGUAUUACGUGAAAUAUAGGUUAAGUCGAUUAAGAAGAAGAAGAAGAAGAAAAAAAAAAGAAAAGGAAGAAAGAAAAAUCGAUAACUUUAAUAAUCGAUGAGCGGAAAGUAGUGGGUAACCGGUGUUACGAAAACGGUGUCGGUCGAACGAGUAAAUUGUUACAUCAAGAGGAAGCAUUUUAUUUGCCGCUCGCGAAAGUGUGCGCGUUAAUUAUACCAUCGUUAAUUACACGGCGUGUAAAAGGAAAAAAAAAAAAAUAGAAAAUGUUUGUAAACAACGCCAACAACGUGGCAUCAUUCAUUCGACGAUUUCCUUCAUGAAAUUCUGAUUACCCUCGCCAUAAUGCUCACCACGCAUUGUAUUCCACUCGCUUAUAAAAUCAAAUCUAUCGCGAAUUUUCGUUAUUAAGUAUCGUCCCUCAACUCCGUUAAAUGUCAUUCUCUUUUCAAAGCAUCUCAUUGUGCAUCGAUUGUUUGAAAGAAAGUUCCUUUAAUCCCCUUCAAAAUAUAAAAAUCCAACGAAACGGGAUUACUUCCAGGAUACUUACCUACUUUGGAGUAGGAUUCUCUUCUGAAUAGGGUUUGGAGGAGCGUCGGCUCGUUUCGUUUCUUUAGAUUGGAUCGUUCGCUUCGACAAUGCUGGCACUGGCAUCGUCUCGAUCGACAAGUUUACGAGUGGCUUCCGUUCUGAAACGUGACAUCGAUUCACGAUUAAGGUAUACACGAUUGGUCGCGGAUCAAUUUAUUUGAAACGCGCGUGAAACGAUCGAAUUUAAUCCUACUCGUCGAAUCCACGCUAUUUGAAGAAAGUACAGGGAAAGAUUUAUGUUAUGUACGUAUCGAGACAUGAUUUUUUUUUAUAUUUUGUUUUAACGAAAAAAAAAAAAAUUAACGAUUCCACGUUUGCUUCGAGACUCGAAUUGGCUUUCCUUUUCCAUCGAUAAGAUUCGUUAGACUUUCUGCUCGAUAAUUCAUCGAUUUAUGCGCGUAAUAAAAUUAAGCGGCUUGUCUAUCUAUGUAUUCUAUCGCCAUUAAUUUUUGACGCAACUUUGACGCAACUAAUAAAUAAAUUUUCAAAUGUUCAUCGAAUCCUUACUCACCUUCUUUCAAAGUUUCUUCUUCUUCGUUUUAAAGAAAUAUCGUACGACUUAAUCGUUGCUUUUCGUUUCCUUUUACCAAAAAAUUGAGCGAUAAAAUCUUCAACUUCUUCUUUCCAAGAUCCUCUUCGAAAUUUCUUCUUUCAAGGAUGCUCGUUUAAAAAAAGAAAAAAAAAAAAUACCUCCACAUCGAGUUCAAAAACACGCCUCAACUUUCUACAAUCUUCUUCAUCUCAUAACGCAGAAGUCUCCUCCCCAAGUGCUCUGCUAAUUCCGUUUCAUCUCUAAACGGAUAUGCAACUUCCUCAAAAGAUCUUAACGAUUUCACGGUUCAUAAGCCUCGAAACGAUUCGCCACCCUUUUUGCACCUCGAGUCGUUGCUUUCUCCGCUCUUCGAAUCGUUGCCUUUUUCCCUCGAUCGCUUCUUCUAUCCACGAUUCAUUCAAUCGUCGAUUCGACUUUUUCCUGAGUUUGGAAGAAUUAAGAAAAAAAAAUCGCUUGAAAUCAAUCACCUUCCCAAUUACAUUCCUCCUUUUUCGAGAAGAAUCGAAAUGUCUCGGAUGGAAGAAAGUUUAUCUGUUAUUUGUACGUGUAAAAAUGGUAACGUUAGCUUUGCUCCGUUUCUUCGUCUCUUAAUAAAUCCUGUGCGUGCGUGUUGUGCAUCGAUCCGGCCGAGGAUCAUCGUGAUCUUGCAGCGGAGAACUCGUUUUUAGAUGGACAAAACGCUAAUCGACGAAAGGAAAUAAAUAAAUAUCCGUCUCGUGUCAUUGCGUGUUUGUUGCAUGUUGGACGCGUUCGUGCUCCAGUAAAAUCGCAGGAAAUGUUCAAUUUGAGAAAAGGCCGAGAAAGAGAUACAUUCCCUGACCAGAACAGAACACUUCUUUUUCCACCGUCCACUGCUCCUCCAUUUGCUUUCCUCGAGAAAAAG
Apis florea (little honeybee) is the source of this 3721-nucleotide long non-coding RNA. RefSeq lists it as uncharacterized. The record is from RefSeq and is a predicted model, not a curated record. NCBI's taxonomy places the organism in Eukaryota, Metazoa, Arthropoda, Insecta, Hymenoptera, Apidae.